AUAAAUUUUGCAUAAUGAUCAAGCUCCUUGUUUCGAGUGAUGAUCCCUUUUAAAUGAAAACAUUUGAACCCCUCUCUUCAUUCAUAUUAGACCAUUGCUUACCUAGCCCAAUGAUUGAGAUCAAAUGCUCAUUUGUGAGAAUUCACUUUGUGUGUGUAUGUGUGAAUCAAUGUGAGAGCUGGUUGAAGGGACUUGCUAGUUGAUGAGUAUUGCGACUUGUGUAAAGGCAUAAGAGUAAGGAUAGCCUAGAGAAGCUAGAGUAUAAUAAUAGAGUUGCUCAUGCUAUUUGCUAUGUUUCUUUAGG
Molecule: long non-coding RNA, 304 nt
Filed under: Brassica napus (rape)
Lineage: Eukaryota; Viridiplantae; Streptophyta; Magnoliopsida; Brassicales; Brassicaceae
Description: long non-coding RNA (BNAP_LNC015784)
Source: RNAcentral